Molecule: ribosomal RNA, 530 nt
Filed under: Penicillium commune
Lineage: Eukaryota; Fungi; Ascomycota; Eurotiomycetes; Eurotiales; Aspergillaceae
Description: SSU rRNA
Rfam family: Eukaryotic small subunit ribosomal RNA
Source: RNAcentral
UAAAGAUUAAGCCAUGCAUGUCUAAGUAUAAGCACUUUAUACUGUGAAACUGCGAAUGGCUCAUUAAAUCAGUUAUCGUUUAUUUGAUAGUACCUUACUACAUGGAUACCUGUGGUAAUUCUAGAGCUAAUACAUGCUAAAAACCCCGACUUCAGGAAGGGGUGUAUUUAUUAGAUAAAAAACCAACGCCCUUCGGGGCUCCUUGGUGAAUCAUAAUAACUUAACGAAUCGCAUGGCCUUGCGCCGGCGAUGGUUCAUUCAAAUUUCUGCCCUAUCAACUUUCGAUGGUAGGAUAGUGGCCUACCAUGGUGGCAACGGGUAACGGGGAAUUAGGGUUCGAUUCCGGAGAGGGAGCCUGAGAAACGGCUACCACAUCCAAGGAAGGCAGCAGGCGCGCAAAUUACCCAAUCCCGAUACGGGGAGGUAGUGACAAUAAAUACUGAUACGGGGCUCUUUUGGGUCUCGUAAUUGGAAUGAGAACAAUUUAAAUCCCUUAACGAGGAACAAUUGGAGGGCAAGUCUGGUGCCAG